CUAGGCCACGGGCCUGACCCAGUUUCGCGGCGCCGCGCGCCAAGCCCGGGGAGGAGCCCGAUGUGCGGGGAGCGGGACAGCCGCGUGACUCUGACGGCCGCCGCCGCCGCCCCGCGCCCGGGAUCUGCAGUCGCACCGGAUCCGAGGCCGUUUCUGACCUUUGCCUGCGCCGUGACUCAUCUCCGCGCGGAGAAGAAAGGGGCCUUUGUGGGCUCCCCGCGCGGGCCUUGGCCGGCCGUGUCCUGGGCAGCACUGCCCCCCGGUGGCCGGGAGCGCGGUGGAGGGCGCGGGAGGCGGCCCUGGGGGCGCGCGCCCGACCCCACCCCUGGUGCUGGCCCGCGUCCUGGGGCCCGAGUCCGUCCGGGGAAAGCGGGAAGAGCACUCACCAUCUCCCCGAGGCCCGGGUCUUGGCCCGGGGGGAAGCCUCCACAACGGAGGGAAUGGUUUCUCCCGCCCCUGGGAACGGUGAGCUCGGGCACCCCGGAUGCCGGCUCCCUGGAGGCCUGGCCCAGAUUGGGGGAAGGCCACGGGACAUUGCCCCCCGCACCCGCACCUCCGGAAACAGGGAACGCCUUUUCUGCCCAAAGCCUGGGCUCUGUUCCUCUUCCCCUGGCUGCACAACCACGUGACUGCCGCAUUUUAAAAAUAGACGCAAACAGCUACCCUUCCCCUUUUGUAGCGGAUGCUGCCAUGCCUGUUUGCCCUGGGCCACCUGGAGUCAACUGCUGAUGAUGACAGUACAUUAUGAAGGUGACUUCUCGCAUCUCUGCCUUGGGACAUUCCUUGGAUGCAAAGCCCACACCUGGGGGGCGCGGGGGGUGCAGCUCCAAAGUGCCAAGGAUGUGCCGAUACCACAGUGGCUGUGACCUCCACCAAGCAAGAGGGGCCAGUAUUGGGGUGCAGAUGUCUGUGGCUGUCUUGCCAGGUCUUGGGAUCAAGCCACGUGGCCCACUUGAGGGCUGACGAGGAGGGGUGCAUGGGGAGCCUUAUAAAACCAGCCUGGACCAUCCUUUCCAGCACCUACCAGAGUCUAACCGAUCCCAAGGAAGAAGCAAACAGCCCCAUGACGUUUUACAGAGGUCAGAGAAUGUGGCUCCAGACUCCAGAAGAAGCUAAGGCUGGAUGUCACCACAGAGCAGCUGGGGCCUGAGGAGGAUGCCACACGGUAUAUGGAACCUCCCAGGAAAGGCCAGGAGGGACAGACGGUGCAUGUGCAGCCCCUCCUCUGGAUUCAGGCCUUCCAUCCGCUGAGGCCUGGGAUCUUCUCCCUGUUUCCAGACACCUCCAAAACGCAAGAAAUAGAACUUUCUUUGUUUUUUGUAUCGGUGCCUCAUUUUUGACUUCUAGUCCCUUUUUGCAUCAGGUUGGUGGAAAAAUAUAUAUACCCUCUUGCAGGAGUUAUGUCGUAUUUCUGAGGUCUUAAUGCAAUGCUGUGGGUUAGGAGCAUGGUAUUGUGGUCCUCAUUCAACUGUCCCCAAGUCACAUCUGAGGCUGUCCUUGCAUGGGCCACAGGGACCCCAUAGGUCCCAUGUUUCCCUGUUUGUCAUGGUCACCGUCAUGGCUUAGAUGCAUCCCCAACCCAUUCGCCCUAGGCUUCUGCUGCCCCCCCUCCCUUAGAGCUCCUCUGGGGCCCACAGAUCUCUUGCCCACUCUCAUUCUUCUUCAUGCCAGGAGACCCUGCUUCUGGUUCUAGAGGUAGGGGGAUGGUCUCCUCUCUCCGCUGCUUCUGGCCAAGAUGCCUUGAACGCUUUUCUUUCACCCCUUUAUCACCUACAGAAACCACCUCAGUUCUCUUGAGGGCUUAGGCUCUUCAAAGAGCUUCAUUUUUUAAACAUUUUUAAUUUAAAAAAUUUGGGGGGCCUGGGUGGCUCAGU
Mustela lutreola (European mink) is the source of this 1874-nucleotide long non-coding RNA. RefSeq lists it as uncharacterized. Lineage: Eukaryota; Metazoa; Chordata; Mammalia; Carnivora; Mustelidae. The record is from RefSeq and is a predicted model, not a curated record. The transcript has 4 exons.